This 1271-nucleotide ribosomal RNA is filed under the name Prosopocoilus gracilis. RNAcentral's name for it is "16S ribosomal RNA". The stretch from base 557 to 1271 matches the Rfam family "Archaeal large subunit ribosomal RNA". The record is from RNAcentral. Lineage: Eukaryota; Metazoa; Arthropoda; Insecta; Coleoptera; Lucanidae.
UAUUUAGGGCUUUAUUAUGAAGGGAUUUUUAAAAGUAAUUAUUAGUUUAAGUAAGUUUUUUUGAAAAAAUGGCAUUGUUAUAGAGUAAUAGUACUGUGAGGGGAUAGUUAUAAAUUUUUAUAAGAAUAUUUUAUUUAUGGUACCUUUUGUAUCAGGGUUAAUUAAAAAAUAGGCUUUAGUUAGGGUUGUCUCGAAUUUAUAGGAGCUAAGAGAUUAUAUAUUUUAAUGUAGAAGAAUUAUUUAAAAUAAUCUUUUUGUUAUUAGACGUUAGUCGGUUUUAAAUAUAUCUGGUUUUCAGGGAAAUUGAUUCAAUCAAGUUAUCUUAAUGAAUUUUCUAAUUUAGUAGAGAUUUUUUUGGGUAGGAAAUAUCUAAGGGGAUAAGCUUUUAGGUAGAUUUUUAUAAAUGGUAAUUUUUUAAAGUUGAAUAGGAAUAGAAGUUUUCAUUUUUUGUAGUGUUUUAUAUCAAGAUUUUUUGUGGAGAUGAUUUGCUUUUUUUUAGAUUUUUUUACCUGAAUAUUAGAAUUAAUUUUGUAUUUUAUGAAAUAAUGAUUGAAUUAGUAUAACUUUGAGUUUAAGAAUAUUAGGAUUGAUAUUUUAAGCUAAGUAACUCGGCAAAUAGAUUUUCUGCCUGUUUAUUAAAAACAUGGCCUUUUGGGAAUAAUUUAAGGUCGGGCCUGCCCAAUGAUUGAUUGAAUGGCCGCGGUACUCUGACCGUGCAAAGGUAGCAUAAUCAUUAGUUUUUUAAUUGAAAGCUGGAAUGAACGGUCGGACAAGAAAAUUACUGUCUCAGUUUAAUGGAGUUGGAAUUUUAUUUUUUAGUGAGAAAGCUAGAAUAGGUUUAGGGGACGAGAAGACCCUAUAGAAUUUUAUAGAUUUCUUUGGAUUAGGUUUUUAGAGGAUUUGUCUGAGUUUAUGGGAAAUUUAAUUUGUUGGGGUGAUAGGAAAAUUGGAAGAACUUUUCUUUAAUUAAUUCACUGAUUUGUGUGUAGAUGAUCCGUGUAUUGCGAUUAUAAGAGUAAAUUACCUUAGGGAUAACAGCGUAAUUAAUUUGGAGAGUUCUUAUUGAUAAAUUAGUUUGCGACCUCGAUGUUGGAUUAAAAUGAACUUUUGGUGUAGGGGCUUGAAAGGUUGAGUCUGUUCGACUCUUAAAAUUUUACAUGAUCUGAGUUUAAACCGGUGUGAGCCAGGUUGGUUUCUAUCUCUAGAAAAUUUAGGUGCUUUAGUACGAAAGGACCAAUCACUUAUUUAAUAAGUUAUAAGGGAAUAAUAUU